UACGGAGGGGGCAAGCGUUGUUCGGAAUUACUGGGCGUAAAGGGCGCGUAGGCGGCCUGUUAAGUCGAACGUGAAAUCCCCGGGCUCAACCCGGGAACUGCGUCCGAUACUGGCAGGCUUGAAUUCGGGAGAGGGAUGCGGAAUUCCAGGUGUAGCGGUGAAAUGCGUAGAUAUCUGGAGGAACACCGGUGGCGAAGGCGGCAUCCUGGGCCGAGAUUGACGCUGAUGCGCGAAAGCCAGGGGAGCAAACGGG
RNAcentral lists this ribosomal RNA (253 nucleotides) under uncultured bacterium. RNAcentral's name for it is "partial 16S ribosomal RNA". It matches the Rfam family "Bacterial small subunit ribosomal RNA", at positions 524 to 776 of the family's 1533-position model. The record is from RNAcentral.